AUUCUCACAGUAGGAGAACUAAAGAAACGAAAAAAAAAGCGGAAAAUUGUAAAAAUGUUUACUUUUUGUGUGGUAUGUAUUAUUUUUUUUGGCGGUUCUAUCCUUUUAUCCUUUUGGUUAACUGGUUAUUUAUUUAAUGAACAAACCGGCGAGCCUCAGAAAGGGGAUGAUGGAACAAAA
Molecule: non-coding RNA, 180 nt
Filed under: Ditylum brightwellii
Lineage: Eukaryota; Bacillariophyta; Thalassiosirophyceae; Lithodesmiales; Lithodesmiaceae
Source: RNAcentral